ACGAUGAUGCCCAGCUUGCUGGGUGGAUUAGUGGCGAACGGGUGAGUAACACGUGAGUAACCUGCCCCUGACUCUGGGAUAAGCGUUGGAAACGACGUCUAAUACUGGAUAUGACUGCCGGCCGCAUGGUCUGGUGGUGGAAAGAUUUUUUGGUUGGGGAUGGACUCGCGGCCUAUCAGCUUGUUGGUGAGGUAAUGGCUCACCAAGGCGACGACGGGUAGCCGGCCUGAGAGGGUGACCGGCCACACUGGGACUGAGACACGGCCCAGACUCCUACGGGAGGCAGCAGUGGGGAAUAUUGCACAAUGGGCGAAAGCCUGAUGCAGCAACGCCGCGUGAGGGAUGACGGCCUUCGGGUUGUAAACCUCUUUUAGUAGGGAAGAAGCGAAAGUGACGGUACCUGCAGAAAAAGCACCGGCUAACUACGUGCCAGCAGCCGCGGUAAUACGUAGGGUGCAAGCGUUGUCCGGAAUUAUUGGGCGUAAAGAGCUCGUAGGCGGUUUGUCGCGUCUGCUGUGAAAUCCCGAGGCUCAACCUCGGGCUUGCAGUGGGUACGGGCAGACUAGAGUGCGGUAGGGGAGAUUGGAAUUCCUGGUGUAGCGGUGGAAUGCGCAGAUAUCAGGAGGAACACCGAUGGCGAAGGCAGAUCUCUGGGCCGUAACUGACGCUGAGGAGCGAAAGCAUGGGGAGCGAACAGGAUUAGAUACCCUGGUAGUCCAUGCCGUAAACGUUGGGCGCUAGAUGUAGGG
RNAcentral lists this ribosomal RNA (749 nucleotides) under Curtobacterium sp. Its description in RNAcentral is "bacterial SSU rRNA". It matches the Rfam family "Bacterial small subunit ribosomal RNA", at positions 66 to 827 of the family's 1533-position model. The record is from RNAcentral. Lineage: Bacteria; Bacillati; Actinomycetota; Actinomycetes; Micrococcales; Microbacteriaceae.